This 452-nucleotide ribosomal RNA is filed under the name Schedorhinotermes sp. 1 MW-2019. RNAcentral describes it as "partial 16S ribosomal RNA". The stretch from base 1 to 381 matches the Rfam family "Bacterial large subunit ribosomal RNA", at positions 2074 to 2650 of the family's 2925-position model. The record is from RNAcentral. Lineage: Eukaryota; Metazoa; Arthropoda; Insecta; Blattodea; Rhinotermitidae.
UAUGGGACGAGAAGACCCUAUAGAGUUUUACACUUUUAUUUAUUGUUAUUAUUUGUUUUGAUUUCUUGUUUUUUAAAUAAGUUUAUUGUGUUUUGUUGGGGUGAUGGGAAGAAUUUGUUUAACUCUUCUUUAUUUUGUAUACAUUUAUUUGUGUAAUUAUGAUCCAUUUUUUAUGAUUAAAAGAUUAAAUUACCUUAGGGAUAACAGCGUUAUCCCCCUUGAGAGUUCUUAUUGGCAGGGGGGUUUGCGACCUCGAUGUUGGAUUAAGGUUGAUUUUUGGUGUAGGAGCUGAAUAUAAAUAUUGGGUCUGUUCGACCUUUAAAAUCUUACAUGAUCUGAGUUCAAACCGGCGUGAGCCAGGUUGGUUUCUAUCUAUAAUGGUUUUGUAUACUUUAGUACGAGAGGACCAGGUGUGCGGAAUAAUUUUAAUUUUUGUUGAUUUUCAUUAACUU